CCUACGGGAGGCUGCAGUGGGGAAUAUUGGGCAAUGGGCGCAAGCCUGACCCAGCAACGCCGCGUGAAGGAAGAAGGCUUUCGGGUUGUAAACUUCUUGUAAGAGGGAAGAGCAGAAGACGGUACCUCUUGAAUAAGCCACGGCUAACUACGUGCCAGCAGCCGCGGUAAUACGUAGGUGGCAAGCGUUGUCCGGAUUUACUGGGGGUAAAGGGCGUGCAGCCGGGAAUACAAGUCAGAUGUGAAAUCCCGCGGCUCAACCGCGGAACUGCAUUUGAAACUGUUUUUCUUGAGUACCGGAGAGGUCAUCGGAAUUCCUUGUGUAGCGGUGAAAUGCGUAGAUAUAAGGAAGAACACCAGUGGCGAAGGCGGAUGACUGGACGGCAACUGACGGUGAGGCGCGAAAGCGUGGGGAGCAAACAGGAUUAGAUACCCUGGUAGUC
RNAcentral lists this ribosomal RNA (442 nucleotides) under uncultured bacterium. Its description in RNAcentral is "partial 16S ribosomal RNA". It matches the Rfam family "Bacterial small subunit ribosomal RNA", at positions 338 to 795 of the family's 1533-position model. The record is from RNAcentral.